This 205-nucleotide unclassified non-coding RNA is filed under the name uncultured Russula. Its description in RNAcentral is "sequence contains ITS2". Lineage: Eukaryota; Fungi; Basidiomycota; Agaricomycetes; Russulales; Russulaceae. The record is from RNAcentral.
ACACCCUCAACCUUCUUGGUUUUAUUGACCGGGGAAGGCUUGGACUUUGGAGGUUUUUGUUGCUGGCCUCAUUUGAAGCCAGCUCCUCCUAAAUGAAUUAGUGGGGUCCGCUGUGCAGAUCCUUGACGUGAUAAGUACGCUUCUACGUCUUGGGGUUUUGCGCCGUUCCCGCUUCUAACUCCGAGUUGUGACUCGACCUUAUAAA